UACGAAGGGGGCUAGCGUUGUUCGGAAUUACUGGGCGUAAAGGGCGCGUAGGCGGCUUUAUAAGUCGGGGGUGAAAGCCUGUGGCUCAACCACAGAAUUGCCUUCGAUACUGUAGAGCUUGAGUCCGGAAGAGGUAAGUGGAACUGCGAGUGUAGAGGUGAAAUUCGUAGAUAUUCGCAAGAACACCAGUGGCGAAGGCGGCUUACUGGUCCGGUUCUGACGCUGAGGCGCGAAAGCGUGGGGAGCAAACAGG
This 253-nucleotide ribosomal RNA is filed under the name uncultured bacterium. RNAcentral's name for it is "partial 16S ribosomal RNA". It matches the Rfam family "Bacterial small subunit ribosomal RNA", at positions 524 to 776 of the family's 1533-position model. The record is from RNAcentral.